RNAcentral lists this ribosomal RNA (253 nucleotides) under uncultured bacterium. RNAcentral's name for it is "partial 16S ribosomal RNA". It matches the Rfam family "Bacterial small subunit ribosomal RNA", at positions 524 to 776 of the family's 1533-position model. The record is from RNAcentral.
UACAGAGGUCCCAAGCGUUGUUCGGAUUCACUGGGCGUAAAGGGUGCGUAGGCGGUCGGGUAAGUCUGAUGUGAAAUCUCACAGCUUAACUGUGAAACUGCAUUGGAUACUAUCCGACUCGAGGAAUGGAGGGGAGACUGGAAUUCUCGGUGUAGCAGUGAAAUGCGUAGAUAUCGAGAGGAACACCAGUGGCGAAGGCGAGUCUCUGGACAUUUCCUGACGCUGAGGCACGAAAGCCUGGGGAGCAAACGGG